This is a long non-coding RNA of Pan paniscus (pygmy chimpanzee), 624 nucleotides long. Lineage: Eukaryota; Metazoa; Chordata; Mammalia; Primates; Hominidae. The record is from Ensembl.
CAUAGUUGGCAAUGAAGGAAUAUGCCUCGGAUAAAUAGAAAUAGAACAAUUGUGGUUAUCCAAAUGCUUUGAGCUUGAAUGCUGUCUAGGUAAUUGGAUGGACAAUUUCUUACAAUUUUCAUUUUUUUUCUAAUCUUUUUUGUCCUUUAGGUGAUGUAACAUACUAUAUUACACAUGGUGAGGUGAGACCCUUAGAAGGUUGAAUCAUUCCGACUAAUGGAUGUACUAUCACCAGUUUAUUAGAGCCCCUCUCCAUAACUUCAGUGUUCCUUCAGCUGACUCUGCCUCUUCAAUGACUCUCCCACCAUGGCCAGGCUAACAGUGUGUGCUUUAACAGGGAUGGUGGUGACACCCCACACUCAGACUGAGAUGAUGACGUAAGGAAGUAGUCACAAUGCAGUAUGGAUAGCAGGCAAGAACUGGGGUCCCGGGGCCGCACUGCCUGGAUUCCAAGCCUGAUUUUGCAUGCAUGACUUGAGACUUCAGGUAAUUUGCUUAAACUCAUUGUAACUCAGUUUUUUCUUUAUAAAUUGAUAUUUCAUCAUGCAACAACUGUUUAUUGUGCUAAUUAUUUGGGAAGGGUAUAAUUUUGGGGGCUAGGAUAUAGCCAUCAACAAACCAGAU